Molecule: long non-coding RNA, 903 nt
Organism: Zingiber officinale
Lineage: Eukaryota; Viridiplantae; Streptophyta; Magnoliopsida; Zingiberales; Zingiberaceae
Exons: 3
Source: RefSeq, a predicted model, not a curated record
AGCCACCCGAGCCUCUUCCCUUUUCUUCCUCUCUCGCUCAAACCGCCGCAAAUGCCACCUCCUCUCCUUCGAUCACCGGAGCUGGAUCUGCCGCCAAGCUCCCGGAGUUGCCCUCCCUUGCACGGGCUGCCUUCGGCCAAGAGCAGGAGGUGUCGUCCUCUCAUGUGCGGCACAGUCUUGCGUGACCUAGCAUCGUCGAAGCCGCCAACCAUCAGAAGCUGUUGCCGGCGUAGACGCACACCGAGCGUCGAACCUACCUCUUCGCCGACGCCUCUCACUUCUCCGAUGCCACAAUACCGAGUUCGCCGGUACUGAUCUUCUCACCGUUGGCCGGACUUGCCAUCUCCACGGAUCGCCGGACGUUUGCUACGGUUGUCCUUCUCUCUGAGUUGCAGACCGUGCCUGGCCAUCCUCACCGCCAGAUCGCCGAUUCUCUGUCGCCUCGAAGGACACCCGAUGCCGCCGUCGUUUUCCCUCUCCGGCCACGAGCAGGAGGCAGUGGGGUUGUGUUUGUGAGUCGAUUUCCCUUCUCCCAUACCACGUGAUGCCAUCACCAACGCUGUGCCCCUUGGUUGUGCCCUACCCUAGGCCAGCAACACGCUGCUAUUCAUUACCACCUUUGCUCAUGAUCACAGCAGUAGCAUUCAUCCGAGAGGAGUUUACGGAAUUGGAUUGAUUCUUGAAGGCAGUGGCUUCGCUUGGCUUCGCUCUUCACAUCGCUUAUGGUUUGUGGCUGACUCCGUCUGAUCUGUGUCAAUUUCUGGCUGCUGAAGAAGAAGAGGGCGUUAGUUUGGGACGUCCGUCUCAACAAGGGAUUGUUUAGCUCGAUCUACAUUUAAGGCGGGUACUUCUUGCUUUAUCUCUUUAGUAUUUUGAUCCUAGUGCAUGAGCUUUAUGUUCAGA